Non-coding RNA from Cercocebus atys (sooty mangabey), 3500 nucleotides. The record is from the annotation of a RefSeq genome assembly. Lineage: Eukaryota; Metazoa; Chordata; Mammalia; Primates; Cercopithecidae.
AUGGCCACUCUAGGGCCUUUGUUUUCUGCUAUUGCCUGUGGGGUUUUCUGAGCAUUUCAGGCUGGUCCUCGGGACAUGUUCCAAGGGGACCUGGGCGGACUGGCCAGGAGGGGACGGGCACUGGGGUGCCUUGGGGAUCUGGGAGCCUCUGUGGAUUUUCCGAUGCCUUUGGAAAAUGGGACUUAGGUUGGAUGUGUCUGAUGGAGUUACUGAGCCUGGGGGCUUGGGGAGCCACAUUUGGACGAGAUGCCAGAGCAAACCAGGGGUCUUAGUGAUGGCUGAGGAACGUGUCUCAGGUGCGGUGUCUAGGACUGCAAGAUCGCUGCACACACAGCGAAUCAUGAAACAUUUUCCUUAGAAUUAUGAGGUGCGCUGUGUGCCAACCUGCAUCUUAAAUUCUUUGUUGGCUGGAAAGAGAACUGUCAGAGUGGGUGAAUCCAGCCAGGACGGAUGUGUAGCCUUGGUCUUGAUGAGAGCAGGGUCGGGGCACGGGUAGUCCAGAAAGGGUGGCUGCUGUCCUGACAGAGGCUUAGGGAGGCCCCAGGAGCUCAGUGCCCUGAAGUUGGUUUCCAAGAGAAAAGGAUUGUUCAUCUUAAGAGUCGUGCUUAUUAAAUGUUAAAAGACAGGAUAUGUUUGAAGUGGCUCCAGAGAAAAAUGGUUAAGACAAUUAUGACUUAAAAGUGUGAAAGAUUUUGAAGUAUAUUAAUUUUUUUAACUGUCCAAGUAUUUGAAAUUCUUAUCAUUUGAUUAACACCCAUGAGUGGUAUGUCUCUGGAACUAGGGCCAAAGUAAGUUUAGCUAAGAAAUACUAGCACAGUGCUGUCGGCUCUGAUGCAGGACUGAGUUUUGAGCAUCAUAAAUCAAGUUUAUUUUUUUAAUUAAUUGAGUGAAGCUGGGAGCGGAUGAUGAGUUAGAGUCAAGAUGGCUGCAUGGGGGUCUUGGGCACCCACAGCAGGUGGCAGGAAGCAGGUCACCGCAAGAGUCUAUUUUAGGAAGCAAAAAAACACAAUUGGUAAAUUUAUCACUUCUGGUUGUGAAGAGGUGGUUUCGCCUGGGCCCAGAUCUGAAAGUGCUCUACUGAGCAAAACAACACCUGGACGAUUUGCGUUUCUAAAAUAAGGCGAGGCUGACCGAAACUGGAAAGGCUCUUUUUUUUUUUUAACUAUCCGAAUUUCAUUUCCAAUCUUAGCUUAUCAACUGCUAGUUUGUGCAAACAGGAUAUCAACUUCUAAACUGCAUUCAUUUUUACAGUAAGAUGUUUAAGAAAUUAAACAGUCUUAGGGAGAGUUUAUGACUACAUUCAAAAAACUUUUAAAAUUAGUCUGUUAUCCCUUCAUGUGAUAAUUAAUCUCAAACACGUUUUCAAUACCUCAGAGCAUUAUUUUUAUAAUAACUAUGUUCACAAUCUUUUUUGGUUAACUCGUUUUCUCUGUGAUUAAGGAGAAACACUUUGAUAUUCUGAUAGAGUGGCCUUCAUUUUAGUUGUUUUUCAAGACCACUUUUCAACUACUCACUUUAGGAUAAGUUUUAGGUAAAAUAUGCACCGUUAUCCUGAAUUAUUUCAGUUAAACAUGUUAGUUUGUGGCUUAAGAGAAAACUCAGUCAGACAGUGCUGAAGACAGCGCUGUGGAGACACCUUAGAAGGACGGGUUCUGUUCGGAAUCACCGAUUCGGCUUCAGCCAGGCUGGCCUAGCGGAGGCUCUGGGAGGCUGCCUGCCAGGCCCGGGCUGGGCUUUGGGUCUCCCCGGACUACCCAGAGCUGGGAUGAGUGGCUUCUGCCACCAGGCCAACUGGCUGCUCAGGACCCAGCCCUUGUUAAUGGACUUGGAGGAACGAUUCCAUGCCAAAGCCUUGCAGGGCUCGCAGUGACUACACACCCGACAUGCAUCCACCAAGGCUCCGGAUGUGUUCCCCAUCACAUCAGCGUGCCAACUCCCAAAGGAUAACAGCCCUGUGGUCCUGGCAUGCUUGAUAACUGGGUACAACCCAAAGUCCGUGACUGUCACCUGGCACCUGGGGACACAGAUCCAGAACCAGAUUAUGUUCCCUGAGACAGAGAGAGAGGGCAGCUACAUGACAAGCAGCCAGCUCGCCCCCACCCCACCCCUCUCCCAACAGCACCAAGGCGAGUACAAAUGCACCGUCAAGCACAUCCCCAGCGAUACAAACAAGGCGAAGACCUUCCGCUGGCCAGAGUCUCCAAAGGCACAGUACCCCUCAGUGCCCACUGUACAGCCCCAAGCAGAGGGCGGCCUCUCCAAGGCAACCAGACCCCCGGCCACCAACAGGAACACAGGAAGAAGAGAAAAGGAGGACGAGGAGGAGAAACAACAACAAGAGGGAGAGACAAAGACCCCAGAGUGUCCAAGCCACACCCAGCCUCUCGGCGUCUACCUGCUGCCCCCGGCCCUGCAGGACCUGUGGUUCCGAGACAAAGUCACCUUCACCUGCUUCGUGGUGGGCAGUGACCUGCAGGAUGCCCACCUGUCCUGGGAGGUGGCCGGGAAGGUCCCCAAAGGGGGCAUGGAGGAGGGGCCGCUGGAGCAGCACAGCAACGGCUCCCAGAGCCAGCACAGCCGCCUGGCCCUACCCAGGUCCUUGUGGAAUGCGGGGACCUCCGUCACCUGCACACUGAACCAUCCCAGCCUCCCAUCCCAGAAGCUGAUGGCGCUGAGAGAACCCGCUGCCCAGGCACCCGUCAGGCUUUCCCUGAACCUGUUGGCCUCGUCUGACCCUCCGGAAGCAGCCUCAUGGCUCCUGUGUGAGGUGUCUGACUUCUCGCCCCCCAACAUCCUCCUGAUGUGGCUGGAGGACCAGCGCGAGGUGAACACUUCUUGGUUUGCCACCACGCACCCCACUCCACAGCCCGGGAGCACCAUGUUCUGGGCCUGGAGUGUGCUGCGUGUCCCAGGCCCGACCAGCCCUCAACCAGCCACCUACACGUGUGUGGUCAGCCACGAGGACUCCAGGACUCUACUCAAUGCCAGCCGGAGCCUGGAUGUCAGCUACCUGGCCACAACCCCCCAGAUCCCUCAGAGCAAGGAUGAGAACAGCGAUGACUACACGACCUUGGAUGACAUGGGCAGCCUGUGGACCACCCUGUCCACGUUCGUGGCCCUCUUCGUCCUCACCCUCCUCUAUAGCGGCAUUGUCACUUUCAUCAAGGUGAAGUAGCCCUAGAAGAGCAGGACGCCCUGUACCUGCAGAAAAGGGAAGCAGCCUCUGUGCCUCAUCCGUGGAUGCCAGAGAGCAGAAAGGACCCACCCUGGACUCUGCUGUACGCAGGAAAAUGCACCAGCCCCUGCCUCCAGCUCCCCUCUGUCCGCCACAGAACGCAGUCUUCUAGACCAGGGGAACGGGCACCCAUCACUCCGCAGGUGAAGCGGAGCACCCCUGCCCUGGCCCUAACCCCUGUGCCUCCUUCCUGUGCUUCCCCCAGAGCCAGCUAGUCCCAUCUGCACCCCCCGGCCUCCCCAUAAACACGCUUUGGUUCAUUUCA